UACGUAGGGGGGCAAGCGUUGUCCGGAUUUAUUGGGCGUAAAGAGCGUGUAGGCGGCCUGACAGGUCAGCUGUGAAAACUCGAGGCUCAACCUCGAGACGUCGGUUGAAACCGUAAGGCUAGAGUCCGGAAGAGGAGAGUGGAAUUCCCGGUGUAGCGGUGAAAUGCGCAGAUAUCGGGAAGAACACCCGUGGCGAAGGCGGCAUCCUGGACCGGCAUUGACGCUGAACAGCGAAAGCUAGGGGAGCAAACGGG
RNAcentral lists this ribosomal RNA (254 nucleotides) under uncultured bacterium. Its description in RNAcentral is "partial 16S ribosomal RNA". It matches the Rfam family "Bacterial small subunit ribosomal RNA", at positions 524 to 776 of the family's 1533-position model. The record is from RNAcentral.